Molecule: ribosomal RNA, 504 nt
Filed under: uncultured bacterium
Lineage: Bacteria
Description: partial 16S ribosomal RNA
Rfam family: Bacterial small subunit ribosomal RNA
Source: RNAcentral
GAUGAACGCUGGCGGCGUGCUUAACACAUGCAAGUCGAACGAAGUGUUUAUUCAAAGUUCUUCGGGAUAGAGAAUAAAUUCCUUAGUGGCGGACGGGUGAGUAACGCUUGGGUAACCUGCCUCACACAGGGGGAUAACAGAUGGAAACGCCUGCUAAUACCUCCUAAGACCACAGCACGGCAUGGUGCCGGGGUACAAGAUUUAUCGCUGUGAGAUGGACCUGCGUCUGAUUAGAUAGUUGGCGGGGUAGAGGCCUACCAAGGCAACGAUCAGUAGCCGGUCGGAGAGGAGGAUCAGCCAGACUGGAACUGAGACAGGGGCGAGACGCCUGAGGGAGGCAGCAGUGGGGAAUAUUGGACAAGGGGCGCAAGCCGGAUCCAGCCAUAGCGCGUGGGUGAAGAAGGCCUUAGGGGUGUAAAGCCAUUUUGUUGGGAAAGAAAAGCAGCAGGUUAAUACCCCGCUGUUCUGACGGUACCCAAAGAAUAAGCACCGGCUAACUUCGUG